AUUGAACGCUGGCGGCAGGCCUAACACAUGCACGUCGAACGAGUGGCGGACGGGUGAGUAAUGUCUGGGAAACUGCCUGAUGGAGGGGGAUAACUCCUGGAAACGGUAGCUAAUACCGCAUACCAUCAGAUGUGCCAAGAUGGGAUUAGCUUGUUGGUGGGGUAACGGCUCACAAAGGCGACGAUCCCUAGCUGGUCUGAGAGGUUGACCAGCCACAAUGGAACUGAGACACGGUCCAGACUCCUACGGGAGGCAGCAGUGGGGAAUAGUGCAGAAUGGGCGCAAGCCUGAUGCAGCCAUGCCGCGUGUAUGAAGAAGGCCUGAGGGUUGUAAAGUACUUUCAGCGGGGAGGCGUUAACCGCAGAAGAAGCACCGGCUAACUCCGUGCCAGCAGCCGAGGUAAUUC
This 406-nucleotide ribosomal RNA is filed under the name uncultured bacterium. RNAcentral describes it as "partial 16S ribosomal RNA". It matches the Rfam family "Bacterial small subunit ribosomal RNA", at positions 30 to 526 of the family's 1533-position model. The record is from RNAcentral.